Molecule: ribosomal RNA, 460 nt
Filed under: uncultured bacterium
Lineage: Bacteria
Description: partial 16S ribosomal RNA
Rfam family: Bacterial small subunit ribosomal RNA
Source: RNAcentral
CCUACGUGCGGCUGCAGUGAGGAAUAUUGGUCAAUGGGCGCGAGUCUGAACCAGCCAAGCAGCGUGAAGGAUGACUGCCCUAUGGGUUGUAAACUUCUUUUAUAAAGGAAUAAAGUUAGACACGUGUGUUUUUCUGUACGUACUUUAUGAUUAAGGAUCGGCUAACUCCGUGCCAGCAGCCGCGGUAAUACGGAGGAUCCGAGCGUUAUCCGGCUUUCUUGGGUUUAAAGGGUGCGUAGGUGGGUUGAUAAGUUAGUGGUGAAAGUUUGUGGCUUAACUCUAGAAUUGCAAUUGAUACUGGCGACCUAGAGAACAGAUGAGGUAGGCGGAAUGCAUGGUGUAGCGGUGAAAUGCUUAGAGAUCACGAAGAACACCGAUUGCGAAGGCAGCUUACUAAUCUGCCACUGACGUUGAGGCACGAAAGUGUGGGGAGCAAACAGGAUUAGAUACCCUUGUAGUC